AGGGAAUCUUCGGCAAUGGGCGAAAGCCUGACCGAGCAACGCCGCGUGAAUGAUGAAGGCCUUCGGGUUGUAAAAUUCUGUUAUAAGGGAAGAACGACUUUAGUAGGAAAUGGCUAGAGUGUGACGGUACCUUAUGAGAAAGCCACGGCUAACUACGUGCCAGCAGCCGCGGUAAUACGUAGGUGGCGAGCGUUAUCCGGAAUUAUUGGGCGUAAAGCGCGCGCAGGUGGUUUCUUAAGUCUGAUGUGAAAGCCCACGGCUCAACCGUGGAGGGUCAUUGGAAACUGGGAGACUUGAGUGCAGAAGAGGAUAGUGGAAUUCCAAGUGUAGCGGUGAAAUGCGUAGAGAUUUGGAGGAACACCAGUGGCGAAGGCGACUUUCUGGUCUGCAACUGACGCUGAGGCGCGAAAGCAUGGGGAGCAAACA
RNAcentral lists this ribosomal RNA (426 nucleotides) under uncultured Turicibacter sp. Its description in RNAcentral is "bacterial SSU rRNA". It matches the Rfam family "Bacterial small subunit ribosomal RNA", at positions 356 to 774 of the family's 1533-position model. The record is from RNAcentral. Lineage: Bacteria; Bacillati; Bacillota; Erysipelotrichia; Erysipelotrichales; Turicibacteraceae.